UACGGAGGGUGCAAGCGUUGUUCGGAAUCACUGGGCGUAAAGCGCGUGUAGGCGGCUAUUUAAGUCUGAUGUGAAAGCCCUGGGCUUAACCCAGGAAGUGCAUUGGAUACUGGGUAGCUCGAGUACCGGAGAGGAGGGUGGAAUUCCGGGUGUAGCGGUGGAAUGCGUAGAUAUCGAGAGGAACAUCGGUGGCGAAGGCGGCCUUCUGGACAGCGACUGACGCUGAGACGCGAAAGCGUGGGGAGCAAACAGG
RNAcentral lists this ribosomal RNA (253 nucleotides) under uncultured bacterium. RNAcentral describes it as "partial 16S ribosomal RNA". It matches the Rfam family "Bacterial small subunit ribosomal RNA", at positions 524 to 776 of the family's 1533-position model. The record is from RNAcentral.